GAUGAACGCUGGCGGCGUGCCUAAUACAUGCAAGUCGAGCGAACAGACGAGGAGCUUGCUCCUCUGACGUUAGCGGCGGACGGGUGAGUAACACGUGGAUAACCUACCUAUAAGACUGGGAUAACUUCGGGAAACCGGAGCUAAUACCGGAUAAUAUAUUGAACCGCAUGGUUCAAUAGUGAAAGACGGUUUUGCUGUCACUUAUAGAUGGAUCCGCGCGGCAUUAGCUAGUUGGUAAGGUAACGGCUUACCAAGGCAACGAUGCGUAGCCGACCUGAGAGGGUGAUCGGCCACACUGGAACUGAGACACGGUCCAGACUCCUACGGGAGGCAGCAGAAGGGAAUCUUCCGCAAUGGGCGAAAGCCUGACGGAGCAACGCCGCGUGAGUGAUGAAGGUCUUCGGAUCGUAAAACUCUGUUAUUAGGGAAGAACAAAUGUGUAAGUAACUAUGCACGUCUUGACGGUACCUAAUCAGAAAGCCACGGCUAACUACGUG
This 497-nucleotide ribosomal RNA is filed under the name uncultured bacterium. RNAcentral describes it as "partial 16S ribosomal RNA". It matches the Rfam family "Bacterial small subunit ribosomal RNA", at positions 28 to 507 of the family's 1533-position model. The record is from RNAcentral.